GACGAACGCUGGCGGCGUGCUUAACACAUGCAAGUCGAACGGAAAGGCCCUGCUUUUGUGGGGUGCUCGAGUGGCGAACGGGUGAGUAACACGUGAGUAACCUGCCCUUGACUUUGGGAUAACUUCAGGAAACUGGGGCUAAUACCGGAUAGGAGCUCCUGCUGCAUGGUGGGGGUUGGAACGUUUCGGCGGUUGGGGAUGGACUCGCGGCUUAUCAGCUUGUUGGUGGGGUAGUGGCUUACCAAGGCUUUGACGGGUAGCCGGCCUGAGAGGGUGACCGGCCACAUUGGGACUGAGAUACGGCCCAGACUGCUACGGGAGGCAGCAGUGGGGAAUAUUGCACAAUGGGCGGAAGCCUGAUGCAGCAACGCCGCGUGCGGGAUGACGGCCUUCGGGUUGUAAACCGCUUUCGCCUGUGACGAAGCGUGAGUGACGGUAAUGGGUAAAGAAGCACCGGCUAACUACGUG
Molecule: ribosomal RNA, 468 nt
Filed under: uncultured bacterium
Lineage: Bacteria
Description: partial 16S ribosomal RNA
Rfam family: Bacterial small subunit ribosomal RNA
Source: RNAcentral